UACGUAGGUGGCAAGCGCUGUCCGGAUUUAUUGGGUUUAAAGGGUGCGUAGGCGGUCUUAUAAGUCAGUGCUGAAAUAUCCCGGCUUAACCGGGAGGGUAGCAUUGAUACUGUAGGACUUGAGUAGAGUUGAGGUUGGCGGAAUUGACGGUGUAGCGGUGAAAUGCUUAGAUAUCGUCAAGAACACCGAUAGUGAAGACAGCUAACUAAGCUCAAACUGACGCUGAGGCACGAAAGUGUGGGGAUCAAACAGG
RNAcentral lists this ribosomal RNA (253 nucleotides) under uncultured bacterium. Its description in RNAcentral is "partial 16S ribosomal RNA". It matches the Rfam family "Bacterial small subunit ribosomal RNA", at positions 524 to 776 of the family's 1533-position model. The record is from RNAcentral.